GAAUGCUGACAUAAGUAACGAUAAAGCGGGUGAAAAGCCCGCUCGCCGGAAGACCAAGGGUUCCUGUCCAACGUUAAUCGGGGCAGGGUGAGUCGACCCCUAAGGCGAGGCCGAAAGGCGUAGUCGAUGGGAAACGGGUUAAUAUUCCCGUACUUGGUGUUACUGCGAAGGGGGGACGGAGAAGGCUAUGUUGGCCGGGCGACGGUUGUCCCGGUUUAAGCGUGUAGGUGUGUGUUCCAGGUAAAUCCGGUUCACUUUAACACUGAGGCGUGACGACGAGGCACUACGGUGCUGAAGCAACAAAUGCCCUGCUUCCAGGAAAAGCCUCUAAGCAUCAGGUAACAUCAAAUCGUACCCCAAACCGACACAGGUGGUCAGGUAGAGAAUACCAAGGCGCUUGAGAGAACUCGGGUGAAGGAACUAGGCAAAAUGGUGCCGUAACUUCGGGAGAAGGCACGCUGACACGUAGGUGAAGUGAUUUACUCAUGGAGCUGAAGUCAGUCGAAGAUACCAGCUGGCUGCAACUGUUUAUUAAAAACACAGCACUGUGCAAACACGAAAGUGGACGUAUACGGUGUGACGCCUGCCCGGUGCCGGAAGGUUAAUUGAUGGGGUCAGCGCAAGCGAAGCUCCUGAUCGAAGCCCCGGUAAACGGCGGCCGUAACUAUAACGGUCCUAAGGUAGCGAAAUUCCUUGUCGGGUAAGUUCCGACCUGCACGAAUGGCGUAAUGAUGGCCAGGCUGUCUCCACCCGAGACUCAGUGAAAUUGAACUCGCUGUGAAGAUGCAGUGUACCCGCGGCAAGACGGAAAGACCCCGUGAACCUUUACUAUAGCUUGACACUGAACAUUGAGCCUUGAUGUGUAGGAUAGGUGGGAGGCUUUGAAGUGUGGACGCCAGUCUGCAUGGAGCCGACCUUGAAAUACCACCCUUUAAUGUUUGAUGUUCUAACGUGGACCCGUUACCCGGGUUGCGGACAGUGUCUGGUGGGUAGUUUGACUGGGGCGGUCUCCUCCUAAAGAGUAACGGAGGAGCACGAAGGUUGGCUAAUCCUGGUCGGACAUCAGGAGGUUAGUGCAAUGGCAUAAGCCAGCUUGACUGCGAGCGUGACGGCGCGAGCAGGUGCGAAAGCAGGUCAUAGUGAUCCGGUGGUUCUGAAUGGAAGGGCCAUCGCUCAACGGAUAAAAGGUACUCCGGGGAUAACAGGCUGAUACCGCCCAAGAGUUCAUAUCGACGGCGGUGUUUGGCACCUCGAUGUC
This 1258-nucleotide ribosomal RNA is filed under the name Salmonella enterica. RNAcentral describes it as "partial 23S ribosomal RNA". It matches the Rfam family "Bacterial large subunit ribosomal RNA", at positions 1292 to 2533 of the family's 2925-position model. Lineage: Bacteria; Pseudomonadati; Pseudomonadota; Gammaproteobacteria; Enterobacterales; Enterobacteriaceae. RNAcentral also lists the same sequence under 1 other name. The record is from RNAcentral.